Pediococcus cellicola is the source of this 121-nucleotide regulatory RNA element. It matches the Rfam family "Ribosomal protein L10 leader". Rfam says of the family: This family is a putative r-protein leader autoregulatory structure found in B. subtilis and other low-GC Gram-positive bacteria. It is located in the 5' untranslated regions of mRNAs encoding ribosomal proteins L10 and L12 (rplJ-rplL). NCBI's taxonomy places the organism in Bacteria, Bacillati, Bacillota, Bacilli, Lactobacillales, Lactobacillaceae. The record is from Rfam.
AAAUUAUAAUAAAAUUUGCCUAAGACUCAGGUGACGAUUUCGUCUUAAUAUUACCUGCCGAGGAACGUAGAAAUGUAAAUUUCCGUAUCCCAGGUCUGGGUGCGGAUUUUUUUAUAAUUAA